CAUGGAUAUACGGGACGGUAAAACUAUUCUCCUCUUAAUUACUGCUUGCAUCGGACACGUACCAGGGAAGAUCAUUAGACCAUUGGAUAGCAAGUUAAACAGAUACCAGAGCACUGUACCGACUGAAGUCAUAACUGAAAUAUAUUAUGUCACUGAUCAAACAACUACAAAAUCUACUAGUAGUGUAUCCACGGGUACAACGGGAACUCCGCUCUUAGAUCCUACACUUCUGCCAUCAAGCGAGUCACCAUCACAAACUACAACCGUUGUGUUGGCAACUUUGACAAGAGAAUCCACAAGGACUAUCUCAAUCUUAACCACCUUCCGAAAGACAACGGUAUCGCCUACUGGCAGUUAUUCUCCAUUUACGAGCGCGACAAAGAACCAACAUUUCCAAGCAACAAGUGAACAUUUUUCGACAGAUGAUUCUAAAUUCACCAGUCCAAGCCAUGGCCACACAGAUCCCCCUUUGACAUCAUCCUUUUUGGCUAGUACAGACCAGUCAGGUACAUCCAUAAGAAUGAUGUCAACAUUGGCUAUAUCACAUCAGCUAGAGUCACUCUAUGUUGCCGAAGACAGAAUCAAUGAGGACAGAAUUUCCUCGGACGGAAUCAAUAAGGACAGAUUUACCAAAGAUAGAAGACCUUAGGACAGAGCCACUCAUGAGGACAAGGAGACCUAUUCAAUACAGAGAGGAAUGGCAACCCUGGAACUGAUGAACCACAUGUUACAGAAGAACCCUCGGUGUGGCACAACCCUACAGCUUUCUUUUCACUUGCUGUCUCCAUAGUCUUCCUCAUUCUCAUCAUGUUGAUAAUCUGCUGCAUCAUAUGCCACCAGAUGAAGGAUGCAACCAAGACAGAAGAUGGGUAUAACCAGAGGUUCAUUUUACUACAGAUGCAUGCUCUUCGACGUGUUGGACCGAGCCCUGGUGUCCAGGCUCUACCACAGAGUGAGAUAGAGAUGGGGUAUGUAUCAGAACAGAACUGGGAUGAGAAAGAGAUGGAGAGACCCAGUAUACCAAUCAUUGCCUGGCUUUGAGAAGUCCACCUAAACUGGGAUGAGAAAGAGAUGGAGAGACCGAGUAUACCAAUCAUUGCCUGGCUUUGAGAAGUCCACCUAAACUGGGAUGAGAAAGAGAUGGAGAGACCGGGUAUACCAAUCAUUGCCUGGCUUUGAGAAGUCCACCAAAACUAAGAUGAGAAAGAGAUGGAGAGACCGGGUAUACCAAUCAUUGCCUGGCUUUGAGAAGUCAACUCAACCUUCCUUGUCUUUAUUCUUUGUUUCUUGGUACUAAUGAGAUGGUAACAGGCAGCUUGCCAUACAGUUGGAAUGGAGUUGGUACUGCAACCAAUAUUUGCUGGGAAAAAGUGUAAAACCAAGAAGCGUAAAAACAGGACUCGGAUGAGUAGAUUGUUGAUGGUCUUAAAUGUACAUCUAGAAAAUAGUUUGCAUAAAUUAAUGGAUUUCCUGCCGGUACGCUCAUGAUCAUUGGCUUCGCCCAUGUAGUUACCUGAAUAAUCUAUCAUCACAUUUACUAAAUCAUCUAGGAUGCCAAUUACGAAAUCAUUAAAAAAUUGUUAAAGAACCUACUUAGCAAUUUUAGGUAUCAUUAAAAAUCCUUUAAGAAGUCAGAAAAACACGAACUAGAGAACUCAUAUCCUAUCAGACUGACAGGCCACAUGACCAAUAAUACCAAGUAAUGCCAAUCUGCUGGACCAUGAGAAAAGCUGUCAGAAGGCCCAUGAGAGCGACAUGCUGGUUUCGUGGAUUGUUGAUUCUGUGGGCCUUCUCAGUUCUCUUCAGACGGCCAGUCGAUAUAUUGGUCUCUCAUUCUUGUGGGCCGUAGCAAUUCCUGUCCCUUUAAAUGCCUUUAUAAGUAAACUCAAAAUAAAGACCUAAAGAUUAUUGAUAGAUAAGAUUGGUUGCAAUCACAGACAAGUUAAUACAUGUCCAUACACCUCUCACUUCCCUUUGUUAUGCCAAACACACACAAUCAUUAAAGGGACUGGUUAAUACAUGUCCAUACACCUCUCACUUCCCUUUGUUAUGCCAAACACACACAAUCAUUAAAGGGACUCGUCAUUUUACUCCAUUAUAUCAUCAACAAGUUUAUUUUAGAUAUCACAUCUCAUGUUUGAUAAAAAACUGUACUUACAUAAUAAUAAGAUGUUCAUAAUCAAUCAAUUUCUGUUCCUUUUUUCCAUUUAAUUAUUAUUUUAAAGUAAAAAUACACGACAUUCUAAUGUGACACUUACACGAUAUUGCAAGAUAAAACCCUGUGUGUUAUUUGUACAUGGGCUCGGAACCUGCCCAAAGAAAAGGUUUACAAGGAAAAAUAGCAUGUAGUGAAACAAUUGCCAUGGUACAAGCACAAAAGUAAGAAUGACUUUUUACUGAAAGUUUGAGCAAAACUGGACUUGGAAAUUCAUAGAUCUCUGAAUGUGGAGAGUAUUUAUAUGCAUUGUCAUGUGAGCAGACUUUUCAUAUUAUGGUGUGAACUCAAUUAUUUGUUGAUUACAGUAAAUUAAUGAAACUGAAAAUAAUGUUACACACGAAGGAAUAAUAGUGGUUUAAUGAUGUAUUUUCUGUAUUAUUUUAUAGAUAGGACAUUCAGCAUUGGUCUAUAAUUUCAUUACUCAGAAGAAACAGAACGAAAAGAAUUUAUUGUGAUGGUUCUUUGUACAACAUCACAUGCGAAUUCUCACUUUAUAUGUAGUAUAGAGCUAUAUUAAAACUGACAUGUACACAAGUAAACUUGACUUUCACAAAUUCAAAGUGUAUUAUUCAGUGUCUACUG
Molecule: long non-coding RNA, 2800 nt
Filed under: Strongylocentrotus purpuratus (purple sea urchin)
Lineage: Eukaryota; Metazoa; Echinodermata; Echinoidea; Camarodonta; Strongylocentrotidae
Description: uncharacterized LOC115927550
Source: RNAcentral